UGGGGAAUUGUUCGCAAUGGGCGCAAGCCUGACGACGCAACGCCGCGUGGAGGAUGAAGGUCUUCGGAUUGUAAACUCCUGUUGCCCGGGACGAAUGCUCUCGACCUAACACGUCGAGAGGUGACGGUGCCGGGUGAGGAAGCCCCGGCUAACUCUGUGCCAGCAGCCGCGGUAAUACAGAGGGGGCAAGCGUUGUUCGGAGUUACUGGGCGUAAAGGGCGCGUAGGCGGCCGGCUCAGUCGAACGUGAAAUCCCCGGGCUCAACCCGGGAACUGCGUUCGAUACUGGCUGGCUUGAAUCCGGGAGAGGGAUGCGGAAUUCCAGGUGUAGCGGUGAAAUGCGUAGAUAUCUGGAGGAACACCGGUGGCGAAGGCGGCAUCCUGGACCGGCAUUGACGCUGAGGCGCGAAAGCCAGGGGAGCAAACGGGAUUAGAUACCCCGGUAGUCCUGGCCCUAAACGAUGAAUGCUUGGUGUGGCGGGUAUCGAUCCCUGCUGUGCCGAAGCUAACGCAUUAAGCAUUCCGCCUGGGGAGUACGGUCGCAAGGCUGC
Molecule: ribosomal RNA, 550 nt
Filed under: uncultured Acidobacteriota bacterium
Lineage: Bacteria; Pseudomonadati; Acidobacteriota
Description: bacterial SSU rRNA
Rfam family: Bacterial small subunit ribosomal RNA
Source: RNAcentral